AGCAGCCGCGGUAAUUCCAGCUCCAAUAGCGUAUAUUAAAGUUGUUGCAGUUAAAAAGCUCGUAGUUGAAUUUCGGGGUUCUACCGUUGGUCGGGCUUUGUCUGUACUGGCGUGUAGAAUUUCUACCUUCUGGGGAACCAUUAUGUUAUUAAUUUAGCGUAGUGGGAAACCAGGACCUUUACCUUGAAAAAAUUAGAGUGUUCAAAGCAGGCUUAUGUCUGAAUACAUUAGCAUGGAAUAAUAGAAUAGGACGGUGGUCCUGUUUUGUUGGUUUCUGAAUCACCGUAAUGAUUAAUAGGGAUAGUUGGGGGCAUUAGUAUUCAAUUGUCAGAGGUGAAAUUCUUGGAUUUAUUGAAGACUAACUUCUGCGAAAGCAUUUGCCAAGGAUGUUUUCAUUAAUCAAGAACGAAAGUUAGGGGAUCGAAGACGAUCAGAUACCGUCGUAGUCUUAACCAUAAACUAUGCCGACUAGGGAUCGGACGAUGUUAAUUUUUCUUGACUCGUUCGGCGUCCUUACGGG
This 520-nucleotide ribosomal RNA is filed under the name uncultured Scutellospora. Its description in RNAcentral is "SSU rRNA". It matches the Rfam family "Eukaryotic small subunit ribosomal RNA", at positions 569 to 1094 of the family's 1831-position model. The record is from RNAcentral. Lineage: Eukaryota; Fungi; Glomeromycota; Glomeromycetes; Diversisporales; Gigasporaceae.